UACGUAGGGGGCGAGCGUUGUCCGGAUUUAUUGGGCGUAAAGAGCUCGUAGGCGGUUUGGCAAGUCGGGUGUGAAAACUCCGGGCUCAACUCGGAGACGCCACUCGAUACUGCCAUGACUCGAGUCCGGUAGGGGAGUGCGGAAUUCCUGGUGUAGCGGUGAAAUGCGCAGAUAUCAGGAGGAACACCGGUGGCGAAGGCGGCACUCUGGGCCGGUACUGACGCUGGGAGCGAAAGCGUGGGGAGCGAACAGG
RNAcentral lists this ribosomal RNA (253 nucleotides) under uncultured bacterium. RNAcentral describes it as "partial 16S ribosomal RNA". It matches the Rfam family "Bacterial small subunit ribosomal RNA", at positions 524 to 776 of the family's 1533-position model. The record is from RNAcentral.